Molecule: ribosomal RNA, 485 nt
Filed under: uncultured bacterium
Lineage: Bacteria
Description: partial 16S ribosomal RNA
Rfam family: Bacterial small subunit ribosomal RNA
Source: RNAcentral
AUUGAACGCUGGCGGCAUGCCUUACACAUGCAAGUCGAACGGCAGCGGGCCCUUCGGGGUGCCGGCGAGUGGCGAACGGGUGAGUAAUGCAUCGGAACGUACCCGGGAGAGGGGGAUAACCGGCCGAAAGGCUGGCUAAUACCGCAUGAACUCGGAAGAGCAAACCGGGGGACCUUCGGGCCUCGCGCUCUCGGAGCGGCCGAUGUCCGAUUAGGCUAGUUGGUGGGGUAAUGGCCAACCAAGGCGACGAUCGGUAGCGGGUCUGAGAGGACGGUCGGCCACACUGGGACUGAGACACGGCCCAGACUCCUGCGGGAGGCAGCAGUGGGGAAUCUUGGACAAUGGGGGCAAGCCUGAUCCAGCAAUGCCGCGUGGGUGAAGAAGGCCUUCGGGUUGUAAAGCCCUUUCGGCGGGGAAGAAAUCGGUCAGGCGAAUAGUCUGGCCGGAUGACGGUACCCGCAGAAGAAGCACCGGCUAACUACGUG